RNAcentral lists this ribosomal RNA (241 nucleotides) under uncultured Lactobacillus sp. Its description in RNAcentral is "partial 16S ribosomal RNA". It matches the Rfam family "Bacterial small subunit ribosomal RNA", at positions 122 to 354 of the family's 1533-position model. Lineage: Bacteria; Bacillati; Bacillota; Bacilli; Lactobacillales; Lactobacillaceae. The record is from RNAcentral.
UAACCUGCCCAAGAGAUCGGGAUAACACCUGGAAACAGAUGCUAAUACCGGAUAACAACAGAUGAUGCCUAUCAACUGUUUAAAAGAUGGUUCUGCUAUCACUCUUGGAUGGACCUGCGGUGCAUUAGCUAGUUGGUAGGGUAACGGCCUACCAAGGCGAUGAUGCAUAGCCGAGUUGAGAGACUGAUCGGCCACAUUUGGGACUGAGGCACGGCCCAAACUCCUACGGGAGGCAGCAGGG